ACCGACACCCCUCCCUUUUCUCCUUUCGUUUUUGGCCAAAUGGCCAUGAGUUUCGGCUAGUAGAUGCUCUAAAUUAGCCUACUUGACGAGAGGAACACAAAGGUAGCCUCCAUCAAUGGAGUUAUUGCGUCGUUUGAGAGAGAUCGACACCGCAACGUACUGUCACUAUGGCAGUCGAUUCUAUGGCAAGUUCAGGGGUUUUCGGUAAGCUUUAAUGGCAGAGGUGAGUUUGAAACCUCUCCCUUCUUACCAUAGAAUGAUUUUCUUUCGUUGGAUCAUAGAAUCCUUUGAAUUUGAAUUAGCUGCGAUCUAGGUUUUUAAAGUAUGAAAUUUGGGGAUUUUUCCUUGAUUCGAUUGAAUUAUAACAAAUUAGUAGGAUCUAAUAUUAAAAUUCACAGAUUGAGGUUGAGAUAGUUUUGUCUGAAUGAGCUCAUAGGACACUGAUGACCCUUCAGAUUGAGUCUAUUUAAGCUGUUGUGACUAAAUUGAAUAUUGUCAAACUUAUUGAAUUGAUGUUUUUCUAUAAUUAUGAUGCUCGGUAACAAUUUUCAUACAAAGGUAGUUACAUGAUUUUUGAGCAAAGAAUUUCUAUCACUAUUAAUGAUAUACUUUCUUAGUAAACUCUUUAUUGAGUUAAAAGAAAGAUUAAUUUUCAAGAAAGAUUAAAUGAAAAUGAUUUUCAUAUAAAGCUUUAUUUACAGUUAUGAUUAACCUUAGAAAAAUGUGAAUUUACACUUGAUUUUGUAUAUAUGCGCCACUAAGCAAAUUCUGUACUAUCGUAGGGAAAGGAAAUGAGAAAGCAGGAGACUGAAUCGUGCUAAUUGCAGGAUUCCUUUUAGAUCAUUGUACAUAUAAGAGCUACUAUUGUAGCUAUUGUAUAUAGUUCCUUUUUGAAAUUUUUUAUGAUGUAUAGAAUAUUAACAGAAUAGUCAUAUGUAUAUGAGCAUACAUAUGUAAUUACAUAUACUCCUAAU
This 974-nucleotide long non-coding RNA is filed under the name Jatropha curcas. RNAcentral describes it as "long non-coding RNA (JCUR_LNC002793)". The record is from RNAcentral. Lineage: Eukaryota; Viridiplantae; Streptophyta; Magnoliopsida; Malpighiales; Euphorbiaceae.